CCUACGGGAGGCAGCAGUGGGGAAUAUUGGACAAUGGGCGCAAGCCUGAUCCAGCAAUACCGCGUGUGUGAAGAAGGCCUGAGGGUUGUAAAGCACUUUCAAUGGGGAGGAACACCUGCUGAUUAAUACUUGGCAGACUGACAUUACCCAUACAAGAAGCACCGGCUAACUCCGUGCCAGCAGCCGCGGUAAUACGGAGGGUGCAAGCGUUAAUCGGAAUUACUGGGCGUAAAGCGUGCGUAGGCGGCUUGUUAAGUCAGAUGUGAAAGCCCUGGGCUCAACCUGGGAACGGCAUUUGAAACUGGCAGGCUCGAGUUAGGUAGAGGGGAGUGGAAUUUCAGGUGUAGCGGUGAAAUGCGUAGAUAUCUGAAGGAACACCAGUGGCGAAGGCGACUCCCUGGACCCAAACUGACGCUGAGGUACGAAAGCGUGGGUAGCAAACAGGAUUAGAUACCCUGGUAGUCCACGCCGUAAACGAUGUCGACUAGCCGUUGGGCUCUUAUAGAGUUUUAGUGGGNGCAGCGUACGACAGUUAAGUACGACCGCCGCGGGUAAGGUACGGCCGCGAACGGUUAAAACGUUAACGUUAAAGUAAGAAGUUAGACGGCGUUGAGACGUUGCCGACGGACGACGACGAGGGGAGGUUAGGAG
RNAcentral lists this ribosomal RNA (651 nucleotides) under uncultured bacterium. RNAcentral describes it as "bacterial SSU rRNA". The stretch from base 1 to 547 matches the Rfam family "Bacterial small subunit ribosomal RNA", at positions 338 to 873 of the family's 1533-position model. The record is from RNAcentral.